Molecule: ribosomal RNA, 255 nt
Filed under: uncultured prokaryote
Description: partial 16S ribosomal RNA
Rfam family: Bacterial small subunit ribosomal RNA
Source: RNAcentral
UACGUAGGGUGCGAGCGUUGUCCGGAAUUAUUGGGCGUAAAGAGCUCGUAGGCGGUGUGUCACGUCGAUCGUGAAAACUUACAGCUUAACUGUGAGCGUGCGGUCGAUACGGGCAUCACUGGAGUUCGGCAGGGGAGACUGGAAUUCCUGGUGUAGCGGCGAAAUGCGCAGAUAUCAGGAGGAACACCGGUGGCGAAGGCGGGUCUCUGGGCCGAUACUGACGCUGAGGAGCGAAAGCGUGGGGAGCAAACAGGA